GAUGAACGCUGGCGGCGUGCCUAAUACAUGCAAGUCGAGCGAACAGAUGAGGAGCUUGCUCCUCUGACGUUAGCGGCGGACGGGUGAGUAACACGUGGAUAACCUACCUAUAAGACUGGGAUAACUUCGGGAAACCGGAGCUAAUACCGGAUAAUAUAUUGAACCGCAUGGUUCAAUAGUGAAAGACGGUUUUGCUGUCACUUAUAGAUGGAUCCGCGCCGCAUUAGCUAGUUGGUAAGGUAACGGCUUACCAAGGCAACGAUGAGUAGCCGACCUGAGAGGGUGAUCGGCCACACUGGAACUGAGACACGGUCCAAACUCCUCAGGGGGGCAGCGGUAGGGAAUCUUCCGCAAUGGGCGAAAGCCUGACGGAGCAACGCCGCGUGAGUGAUGAAGGUCUUCGGAUCGUAAAACUCUGUUAUUAGGGAAGAACAAAUGUGUAAGUAACUAUGCACGUCUUGACGGUACCUAAUCAGAAAGCCACGGCUAACUACGUG
Molecule: ribosomal RNA, 497 nt
Filed under: uncultured bacterium
Lineage: Bacteria
Description: partial 16S ribosomal RNA
Rfam family: Bacterial small subunit ribosomal RNA
Source: RNAcentral